UACGAAGGGGGCUAGCGUUGUUCGGAAUUACUGGGCGUAAAGCGCACGUAGGCGGACAUUUAAGUCAGGGGUGAAAUCCCAGAGCUCAACUCUGGAACUGCCUUUGAUACUGGGUGUCUUGAGUAUGGAAGAGGUGAGUGGAAUUCCGAGUGUAGAGGUGAAAUUCGUAGAUAUUCGGAGGAACACCAGUGGCGAAGGCGGCUCGCUGGGACGGUACUGACGCUGAGACGCGAAAGCGUGGGGAGCGAACGGG
RNAcentral lists this ribosomal RNA (253 nucleotides) under uncultured bacterium. RNAcentral's name for it is "partial 16S ribosomal RNA". It matches the Rfam family "Bacterial small subunit ribosomal RNA", at positions 524 to 776 of the family's 1533-position model. The record is from RNAcentral.